This 2503-nucleotide ribosomal RNA is filed under the name Monomastix minuta. RNAcentral's name for it is "partial 23S ribosomal RNA". It matches the Rfam family "Bacterial large subunit ribosomal RNA", at positions 1 to 2601 of the family's 2925-position model. The record is from RNAcentral. Lineage: Eukaryota; Viridiplantae; Chlorophyta; Mamiellophyceae; Monomastigales; Monomastigaceae.
UUUCGAAAAACUAAAGGCUUAUGGUGAAUACCUAGGCACCCAAAGACGAUGAAGGGCGUACUUACCGACGAUACGCUUCGGGGAGCUGGAAUGACGCUUUGAUCCGAAGAUUCCCGAAUAGGGCAACCUAUAAAACUUCUUUUUGAAUUCAUAGAAAAGAAAGAGACAACCGAGUGAAUUGAAACAUCUUAGUAGCUCGAGGAAGAGAAAGCAAAAGCGAUUCCCGGAGUAGCGGCGAGCGAAAUGGGAACAGCCUAAAGGAAUAUUCCAUUUAAUGUGAAUAUUUCGGUUGUGGGACAUGAAUAUUUAGUAAUAACAAAAUACGAACUGAAACAGCUGAGUCCUGUACCAAAGAAGGUGAGAGUCCUGUAAGUUUUUCUUUUAUUAUUUCUCAUGAAUCCCGAGUAGCAUGGGGCACGUGAAAUCCCGUGUGAAUCUGCGAGGACCACCUCGUAAGGCUAAAUACUCUUGGGUGACCGAUAGUGAAACAGUACCGUGAGGGAAAGGUGAAAAGAACCUCAUCAGGGGAGUGAAAUAGACCAUGAAACCGUAAGCUUACAAGCAAUGGGAGAGUCUUGAGACUUGACCGUGUGCCUGUUGAAGAAUGAGCUGGCGACUUAUAGGGAGAGGCUUGGUUAAGAAACUUAGUUUUGCAGCCAGAGCGAAAGCAUGUUUGAAUAGAGCAUUUGUCUCUUCUUAUAGACCCGAACCCGGGUGAUCUAACCAUGACCAGGAUGAAGCUUCGGUGAUACGGAGUAGAGGUCCCAACCGACCGAUGUUGAAAAAUCGACGGAUGAGUUGUGGUUAGGGGUGAAAUACCAAUCGAACUCGGAGCUAGCUGGUUCUCCCCGAAAUGCAUUUAGGUGCAGCUGUUUGUCAUGAACUACUCUGGGGUAAAGCACUGUAUCGGUGCGGGCUGCGAAAGCGGUACCAAAUCGUAGCAAACUAAGAAUACAGAGUAUGAAUGCGGCAAACAAGUGAGACAGUGGGCGAUAAGGUUCAUUGUCAAGAGGGAAACAGCCCAGAUCACCAGCUAAGGCCCCUAAAUAGGUACUAAGUGGCAAAGGAGGUGGGAGUGCUAAGACAGCCAAAAGGUUUGCCUAGAAGCAGCCAUCCUUGAACGAGUGCGUAACAGCUCAUUGGUCGAGCGCUCUUGCGCCGAAAAUGAACGGGACUAAGUACUUUGCCGAAGCUGUGAGGGGAGGUUUGACCUCUCCGGUAGGGGAGCGUUCUGCUUGCGAGUGAUGAAGGCGGGUAACUGUCCUUUUGACGAAGCAGAAGUGAGAAUGUCAGCUUGAGUAACGAAAACAGCAGUGUGAAUCUGCUGCCCCGAAAACCUAAGGGUUCCUCUGGAAGGUUCGUCCACGGAGGGUGAGUCAGGACCUAAGGUGUAGCCGAAAGGCGGAGCUGAUGGCAAAUCAGGCGAACAUUCCUGUACUAGUUUAUAUUUAGUCCCGGGGGACAGGGAAGGGGAAACCCUCUCUUUUGGAAUAAAAAACAAAAGUAUCCUUCAAGAAAAGCCCGAACGACUUUUGAAUAUAAAUUACCUGUACCGUAAUCCGACACAGGUGGGUAAGUAGAGUAUACUAAGGGGCGCGAGAUAACUCUCUCCAAGGAACUCGGCAAAAUGGCCCCGUAACUUCGGAAGAAGGGGUGGGAAGAUUUUAUCUUCUCCGCAGUGACCUGACCCAAGCGACUGUUUACCAAAAACACAGGUCUCCGCGAAGUCGUAAGACGAUGUAUGGGGGCUGACGCCUGCCCAGUGCCAGAAGGUUAAGGAAGUUGGUUCGGGAACUUGUUCCCAAAGCUGGCGACCGAAGCCCUGGUGAACGGCGGCCGUAACUAUAACGGUCCUAAGGUAGCGAAAUUCCUUGUCGGGUAAGUUCCGACCUGCACGAAAGGCGUAACGAUUUGGGUACUGUCUCGGAGAGAGACUCGGUGAAAUAGACAUGUCUGUGAAGAUGCGGACUACCUGCACUUGGACAGAAAGACCCUAUGAAGCUUUACUGUAACUUGGGAUUGAAUUUGGGUUCAUCUUGCGCAGCUUAGGUGGAAGGCUAUGAAGCGAAGGUUCCGGCUUUUGUGGAGCCACCAGUGAGAUACCACUCUGGAUGAACUAGAAUUCUCAAUGCACAGGGGAAUCCCUUGCGUGACAGUCUCAGGCGGGCAGUUUCUCUGGGGCGGAGUCCUCCUAAAAGGUAACGGGGGUGUACAAAGGUUCCCUCAGGCUGGACGGAAAUCAGUCAAAGAGUGCAAUGGCAGAAGGGAGCUUGACUGCGAGACCUACAAGUCGAGCAGGGACGAAAGUCGGUCAUAGUGAUCCGACGGUGCUGCGUGGAAAGGCCGUCGCUCAACGGACAAAAGUUACUCUAGGGAUAACAGGCUAAUCUCCUCCAAGAGUCCAUAUCGACGAGGAGGUUUGGCACCUCGAUGUCGGCUCAUCGCAUCCUGGGGCGGUAGUACGUCCCAAGGGUCUGGCUGUUCGCCAGUGAAAGCGGUACGU